RNAcentral lists this ribosomal RNA (441 nucleotides) under uncultured bacterium. RNAcentral's name for it is "bacterial SSU rRNA". It matches the Rfam family "Bacterial small subunit ribosomal RNA", at positions 339 to 796 of the family's 1533-position model. The record is from RNAcentral.
CUACGGGAGGCAGCAGUGAGGAAUAUUGCGCAAUGGGCGAAAGCCUGACGCAGCAACGCCGCGUGGAUGAUGAAGGCCUUCGGGUUGUAAAAUCCUUUUCUGUGGGAAGAAACGGACGGUACCACAGGAAUAAGUGUCGGCUAACUACGUGCCAGCAGCCGCGGUAAAACGUAGGACGCAAGCGUUAUCCGGAUUUACUGGGCGUAAAGCGCGUGCAGGCGGCUUGUUAAGUCGUGCGUGAAAGCUCCCUGGCUCAACCGGGAGAGGUCGUACGAAACUAGCAGGCUAGAGGGCAGCAGAGGAGUGUGGAAUUCCGGGUGUAGUGGUGAAAUGCGUAGAUAUCCGGAGGAACACCAGUGGCGAAGGCGGCACUCUGGGCUGUACCUGACGCUAAGACGCGAAAGCAUGGGUAGCGAACGGGAUUAGAAACCCCUGUAGUCU